This 278-nucleotide long non-coding RNA is filed under the name Carica papaya (papaya). Its description in RNAcentral is "long non-coding RNA (CPAP_LNC010105)". Lineage: Eukaryota; Viridiplantae; Streptophyta; Magnoliopsida; Brassicales; Caricaceae. The record is from RNAcentral.
CCCAAUAUGGAUAUGAAAUUGACCCAAUAUGUAUAUAGAACUGACCCUAUAUGGGAAUGAAACUGAUCGGUCAUUCACAGUGGUAGCUGGGGAUCUCCUCUGCCUUCAGUAGAUAUAUGUUGUAAUGGCUUUAUGUGGAAGUGGGUAAAAAACUUUUAAAAACACAAAACAUGACUUAGAUAGUUGUUGUUAAUUUAUGGUGAUUUUGUAUGAUGGUUCUUCUAAUUUAUCCUGAUCUUAUUGUGUCCUAAGUUAAUUCAACUAGCUUCUAUUGUAAU